RNAcentral lists this ribosomal RNA (456 nucleotides) under uncultured bacterium. Its description in RNAcentral is "bacterial SSU rRNA". It matches the Rfam family "Bacterial small subunit ribosomal RNA", at positions 340 to 786 of the family's 1533-position model. The record is from RNAcentral.
UACGGAAGGCAGCAGUGGGGAAUAUUGCACAAUGGGCGAAAGCCUGAUGCAGCUAUGCCGCGUGUAUGAAGAAGGCCUUAGGGUUGUAAAGUACUUUCAUCGGGGAGGAAAAAACAAAACUAAUAAUUUUAUUUCUUGACGUUACCCGAAAAAGAAGCACCGGCUAACUCCGUGCCAGCAGCCGCGGUAAUACGGAGGGUGCUAGCGUUAAUCAGAAUUACUGGGCGUAAAGAGCACGUAGGUGGUUUUUUUAAGUCAGAUGUGAAAUCCCUGGGCUUAACCUAGGAACUGCAUUUUGAAACUGAAAUACUAGAGUAUCGUAGAGGGAGGUAGAAUUCUAGGUGUAGCGGUGAAAUGCGUAGAUAUCUAGAGGAAUACCUGUGGCGAAAGCGGCCUCCUAAACGAAUACUGACACUGAGGUGCGAAAGCGUGGGGAGCAAACAGGGAUUAGAUACC